ACUCCUACGGGAGGCAGCAGUGGGGAAUUUUGGACAAUGGGCGAAAGCCUGAUCCAGCAAUGCCGCGUGUGUGAAGAAGGCCUUCGGGUUGUAAAGCACUUUUGUCCGGAAAGAAAUCCUUGGCUCUAAUACAGUCGGGGGAUGACGGUACCGGAAGAAUAAGCACCGGCUAACUACGUGCCAGCAGCCGCGGUAAUACGUAGGGUGCGAGCGUUAAUCGGAAUUACUGGGCGUAAAGCGUGCGCAGGCGGUUUGCUAAGACCGAUGUGAAAUCCCCGGGCUCAACCUGGGAACUGCAUUGGUGACUGGCAGGCUAGAGUAUGGCAGAGGGGGGUAGAAUUCCACGUGUAGCAGUGAAAUGCGUAGAGAUGUGGAGGAAUACCGAUGGCGAAGGCAGCCCCCUGGGCCAAUACUGACGCUCAUGCACGAAAGCGUGGGGAGCAAACAGGAUUAGAAACCCCUGUAGUCCCAUGAU
This 475-nucleotide ribosomal RNA is filed under the name uncultured organism. RNAcentral describes it as "partial 16S ribosomal RNA". It matches the Rfam family "Bacterial small subunit ribosomal RNA", at positions 335 to 801 of the family's 1533-position model. The record is from RNAcentral.